GCAGUUUGCUUGAUUUUUUUAUGAACGCUCACUAUUACCAAGCGUAAAGCUUAAUUGGGUUUUUAUUAUUUUGCUUUUUUUGGGAGAGCUCAGCUAACCUACAUAGGAUCGGAUUGUACCAAGCGUAUAGCUUAAUUGGGUUUUUAUUAUUUUGUUUUGUUGGGAGAGCUCAGCUAACCUACAUAGGAUCGGAUUGUACCAAGCGUAUAGCUUAAUUGGGUUUUUAUUAUUUUGUUUUGUUGGGAGAGCUCAGCUAACCUACAUAGGAUCGGAUUGUACCAAGCGUAUAGCUUAAUUGGGUUUUUAUUAUUUUGUUUUGUUGGGAG
This 326-nucleotide long non-coding RNA is filed under the name Citrus sinensis (sweet orange). RNAcentral describes it as "long non-coding RNA (CSIN_LNC001537)". Lineage: Eukaryota; Viridiplantae; Streptophyta; Magnoliopsida; Sapindales; Rutaceae. The record is from RNAcentral.